CAGUAGCCGCGGGAAUACAGAGGGUGCGAGCGUUAUCCGGAUUCACUGGGUUUAAAGGGUGCGUAGGCGGAUCUGUAAGUCAGUGGUGAAAUCUCCAGGCUUAACCUGGAAACUGCCGUUGAUACUAUAGGUCUUGAAUUUUGUGGAGGUUAGCGGAAUAUGUCAUGUAGCGGUGAAAUGCAUAGAUAUGACAUAGAACACCAAUUGCGAAGGCAGCUGGCUACACAACUAUUGACGCUGAGGCACGAAAGCGUGGGGAUCAAACAGGAUUAGAUACCCCCGUAGUCCCUGUCUCUUAUAC
Molecule: ribosomal RNA, 301 nt
Filed under: uncultured bacterium
Lineage: Bacteria
Description: partial 16S ribosomal RNA
Rfam family: Bacterial small subunit ribosomal RNA
Source: RNAcentral